This 125-nucleotide small RNA is filed under the name Marmota monax (woodchuck). Lineage: Eukaryota; Metazoa; Chordata; Mammalia; Rodentia; Sciuridae. The record is from RNAcentral.
GCAGCGUGUGGUGGUGCGUGCCUGUAAUCCCAGCUACUCUGGAGGCUGAGGCAGGAGGAUCUCAAGUGCAAAGCCAGCCUCAGCAAAAGCAAGGCACUAAGCAACUCAGUGAGACUCUGUCUCUA